AACAAGGCGUACCUGCGGACCUGCGGAAGGAUCAUUAACAAUUGUCCAUUCUCCUUUACAAUAUGGAUGGUUCAAAUCCAUAUCCACCUUCUUGUGCACUUCAUUGACAUGUUUGCUUUGGCAGUUUGCGGGAGAGAAGAGAGAUCCUUCGAUCGUUUCUCCGUGGAUGGGAAAAAGGGAUGAAAAGUCAUUCUUUUCUCACCUUUUUUUUUGUUCCCCUCCGGCGCUGCCAGAGUUUUU
This 240-nucleotide unclassified non-coding RNA is filed under the name soil metagenome. RNAcentral's name for it is "partial contains 5.8S ribosomal RNA, internal transcribed spacer 2, and large subunit ribosomal RNA". The record is from RNAcentral.